CAAUAGCGUAUAUUAAAGUUGUUGCAGUUAAAAAGCUCGUAGUUGGAUUUCUGGUGGGAGCGAUCGGUCUGGCGCUUAGCGCGAGUACUUGCAUCGUCUCCGGCCAUCCUUGGGGAGAGUCUGUCUGGCAUUAGGUUGUCGGGCAGAGGAUCCUCAUCGUUUACUGUGAAAAAAUUAGAGUGUUCAAAGCAGGCUUAUGCCGUUGAGUAUAUUAGCAUGGAAUAAUAAGAUAGGACUUUGGUACUAUUUUGUUGGUUUGCGCACCAAAGUAAUGAUUAAUAGGGACAGUUGGGGGUAUUCGUAUUCCGUUGUCAGAGGUGAAAUUCUUGGAUUUACGGAAGACGAACUACUGCGAAAGCAUUUACCAAGGAUGUUUUCAUUAA
This 383-nucleotide ribosomal RNA is filed under the name uncultured eukaryote. Its description in RNAcentral is "partial 18S ribosomal RNA". It matches the Rfam family "Eukaryotic small subunit ribosomal RNA", at positions 592 to 976 of the family's 1831-position model. The record is from RNAcentral.